CCUGACUUAUACAUACAAGAUGUACAGAGUACAAUUCUACAUGGAAAUCAGUAAUGAUUAACCAUAAGCAUAACUGAAUGAAACACUCUUAGUAGAGUUAAGAAAAACUUGCAUGCACCGUUGAUUACCGUUACGAAAUAUAACUUAGCUUUAUCCGAAGACCUAAUAUAGAUAAUAUCAAUCUCCAAACAUUAGAAUAUUAUCAUCACAGUAUAAAAUAACCUAACACAUUACCACAUAAUCUUAUCAGUCUAUACAGCACAUAAGACAUAG
Molecule: long non-coding RNA, 273 nt
Filed under: Panax ginseng (ginseng)
Lineage: Eukaryota; Viridiplantae; Streptophyta; Magnoliopsida; Apiales; Araliaceae
Description: long non-coding RNA (PGIN_LNC002157)
Source: RNAcentral